GUGCUUGCUUUAGCAGCUCAUACACUAAAAUUGGAACAAUAUAGAGAAGAUUAGCAUGGUCCCUGCACAAAGAUGACACACAAAUUGGUGAAGCAUUUCAUAUUUUU
This is a small nuclear RNA of Monodelphis domestica (gray short-tailed opossum), 107 nucleotides long. The record is from Ensembl. Lineage: Eukaryota; Metazoa; Chordata; Mammalia; Didelphimorphia; Didelphidae.